CAGCUAACAUGUGAGGCACUUGUGGAUUUUGAAGAAAUUGAUUCGGAUGUUACACUGAGAAUAAAAUAUUAGGCCUGUUGUGUUGGAGGAAAUUGAGCUUCCCAAUUAAUCUUCUAUACAACUUGGGGUCAGAAACAGGAGCACCAUAUCUAAUACAAGCUUGGCAGAUGGAUAUAAGGGAGUCAGCACAGGGGAGAAGUGUUGACAAUUAAAUUCAGAU
Molecule: long non-coding RNA, 220 nt
Filed under: Nicotiana benthamiana
Lineage: Eukaryota; Viridiplantae; Streptophyta; Magnoliopsida; Solanales; Solanaceae
Description: long non-coding RNA (NBEN_LNC041841)
Source: RNAcentral